Molecule: long non-coding RNA, 570 nt
Organism: Poecilia latipinna (sailfin molly)
Lineage: Eukaryota; Metazoa; Chordata; Actinopteri; Cyprinodontiformes; Poeciliidae
Exons: 3
Source: RefSeq, a predicted model, not a curated record
UCCUUGUACUGAUUUUUGUCUGAAUAAUCUGUUUCCUCUCAUUUACAGGCGGUUGGAAAAUGAACCAACAUGAUGAAGCUGUGGCUGAUCUGAAGAAUGAUAAUGAAAAAUCACAGAACGAAACUGAGAAACUCAGCAGCCAAGUGGAGAAACUCGAUGAAAAAUUACAGGAAGAAACUAAGAACCUCAGCAGCCAAGUGGAAAACCUCAAUGAAAAAUCACAGAAAGGAAUUGAGAACCUGAACCAGACAAUCCAGUUAAUGCAGAAAUUCAAAAGCUUCCUGUUCAAUGAGAACUGCACCAGCAAAGAGUGUCUGCUGUGUAAAAAGGGUUGGAUCUUCUUCAGUGGAUCGUUUUACUUUUUCAGUAAUGUUUCUUUGACCUGAAAUGAAAGUCGUCAGUUCUGUCAGAAUAAAUCUGCUGAUCUGGUUGUUAUUGAUGAUCUGCAGGAACAGACAUUCAUUCAUGACAACAUAAAGACAGACUCCUGGUUGGGGCUACGGAAAGUUGGGAGCAACUGGGUUUGGGUUGAUGGUCGUAUCGACACACUUAGGUAAGAGAUUUCACACA